UUAACUUUGAUAUGUCUGGUAUUCUUGGGUUCAGUGACAACCAGAACUAUUAGACAUAUCGAAGGUCGG
This is a microRNA precursor of Ancylostoma ceylanicum, 69 nucleotides long. It matches the Rfam family "mir-50 microRNA precursor family". Lineage: Eukaryota; Metazoa; Nematoda; Chromadorea; Rhabditida; Ancylostomatidae. The record is from Rfam.